This is a non-coding RNA of Pelobates cultripes (western spadefoot toad), 793 nucleotides long. Lineage: Eukaryota; Metazoa; Chordata; Amphibia; Anura; Pelobatidae. The record is from the annotation of a GenBank genome assembly.
CCCUCACCCACUUCUAAAUAAUAAAUUAUAUCGUUAGACCCUCGAUGUGCUAAGCCCCCUUUCACCAAUUUCUCGAUAGAAAAGCUUGUUUGACCUUAAAGGGACACUAUAGUCACCAAGACCCCUUAGCCUCAAUGAAGUGGUCUGGGUGCCAGGUCCCUCAGGUUUUAACCCUUCAGAUGUAAACCUAUGUUUCCAUAGCAGGGUUAAUCCAACCUCUUCCUCACAGCCGCUAGAGGCGCACCUGCAACGCUGGAUGCGAAAUUCCUCCCCCAUCAGCGCCAUGGGAGUGAGACCCUGAGUGUGGGGGCACCCUCAGGGCACUAUAGUGGUCCUUUAAGAAAUGCUUUCCUAUAUACAGUUUGAAUGCAAGUGCGGCACUUGCCGCGCAUGCGCAUUCCACUCCACUUGGGAGCUGACGUCGGCAGGGGAGGAGAGGUCACCGGCGCUGGAUUAAGGUAAGCUGCUGAAAGUGUUUUAACCCCUUCAGCGCCAUGUUUUCCUGACACUAUAGUGAUCCUUUAAAUUUGAAAUUCACCUUGAAGUCUCACCCCCUCCCCCCAAGCAACUAAGCCAUCUAUGCUUUCAGUUUGACUACUCUGGCCUUGAGGGGGUUACUCCAAGCACCAGGAUCAGUAUGUGCAAUGUUUCAUUAUGAAACAAUGCAUGUGCAGAGUUUACCCGUCUGCUACUGGAGUUCCGGUUUUGUUCAAAAUUCUGUGCAAAAUUGGCGCCAGAGAGAUGAACACACACAAACAAAUGUAUGGUUUACAAAACCUACAAUCACUCAUUU